Molecule: RNase P RNA, 368 nt
Filed under: Crocinitomicaceae bacterium
Lineage: Bacteria; Pseudomonadati; Bacteroidota; Flavobacteriia; Flavobacteriales; Crocinitomicaceae
Description: RNase P RNA component class A
Rfam family: Bacterial RNase P class A
About the family: Ribonuclease P (RNase P) is a ubiquitous endoribonuclease, found in archaea, bacteria and eukarya as well as chloroplasts and mitochondria.
Source: RNAcentral
AAGGUAAGUCAGUCUAUCGCUUUAAUUUAAUAUUAAAGAGGAAAGUCUGGGCAGCAAAGAGUGUCGUGCUUCUUAACGGGAAGGGUUUUGUUUAUUCAAAAUACAGAUAGUGCCACAGAAAGGAAAACUACCAGUCUUUGAUUGGAAAAGGUGAAAAGGUGAGGUAAGAGCUCACCGGGUUGUUGGUGACAAUAGCCGCUAGGUAAACCUCACGAGUUGAAAGACCAUGUAAACCUAGGUUUGAGGACUACUCGUUCGACUAGGAGGGUAGGUUGAUGGAUUCUAACAGUGAUGUUAGAACUAGAUAAAUGAUAGACACUGUGAUUUAUUUUACAGAUACAGGACCCGGCUUAAGACUUGCCUUUCUU